RNAcentral lists this unclassified non-coding RNA (246 nucleotides) under fungal sp. RNAcentral describes it as "partial internal transcribed spacer region". The stretch from base 1 to 46 matches the Rfam family "Eukaryotic small subunit ribosomal RNA", at positions 1786 to 1831 of the family's 1831-position model. Lineage: Eukaryota; Fungi. The record is from RNAcentral.
AAGUCGUAACAAGGUAACCGUAGGUGAACCUGCGGUUGGAUCAUUACAAAAUUUGGACAAAGUUCCAAACCUUGUGUGCACUAUAUCUGUCUCUGGCAGGUGUCAAGCCUUGCUUGCCCUGCCGAAGGUUCGGGUCUCUGACCCGGCUUUGAAUGAACAAACCAAUUGAAUAAUUAUUUUGUCUGAUUCAAUUCACCUCUGCGUGAAAUGAAAAAACAACUUUUGACAACGGAUCUCUUGGCUCUC